RNAcentral lists this ribosomal RNA (465 nucleotides) under uncultured bacterium. RNAcentral's name for it is "partial 16S ribosomal RNA". It matches the Rfam family "Bacterial small subunit ribosomal RNA", at positions 338 to 795 of the family's 1533-position model. The record is from RNAcentral.
CCUACGGGAGGCAGCAGUAGGGAAUUUUCGUCAAUGGGCGCAAGCCUGAACGAGCGAUGCCGCGUGAGUGAAGAAGGCCUUAGGGUCGUAAAGCUCUGUUGCGGGGGAAAAAAGGCAGCAUCAGGAAAUGGGUGCUGACUGAUGGUGCCCCGCCAGAAAGUCACGGCUAACUACGGGCCAGCAGCCGCGGUAAUACGUAGGUGGCGAGCGUUUUCCGGAAUGGUUGGGCGUAAAGGGUGCGCAGGCGGUCCUGCAAGUCUGGAGUGGAACGCAUGAGCUCAACUCAUGCAUGGCUUUGGAAACUGGAGGACUGGAGAGCAGGAGAGGGCGGUGGAACUCCAUGUGUAGCGGUAAAAUGCGUAGAUAUAUGGAAGAACACUAGUGGCGAAGGCGGCCGCCUGGCCUGUUGCUGACGCUGAGGCACGAAAGCGUGGGGAGCAAAUAGGAUUAGAUACCCUUGUAGUC